UACGUAGGUGGCGAGCGUUGUCCGGAUUUACUGGGCGUAAAGAGCGCGCAGGCGGUCGUUCAAGUCGCGUGUGAAAGCCCCCGGCUCAACUGGGGAGGGUCACGCGAUACUGAUCGACUCGAAGGCAGGAGAGGGAAGUGGAAUUCCCGGUGUAGCGGUGAAAUGCGCAGAUAUCAGGAAGAACACCCGUGGCGAAGGCGGCUCUCUGGGACGGUACUGACGCUGAGACGCGAAAGCGUGGGGAGCAAACAGG
Molecule: ribosomal RNA, 253 nt
Filed under: uncultured bacterium
Lineage: Bacteria
Description: partial 16S ribosomal RNA
Rfam family: Bacterial small subunit ribosomal RNA
Source: RNAcentral